UACGGAGGGUGCUAGCGUUGUUCGGAAUCACUGGGCGUAAAGGGCGUGUAGGCGGUCUGUUAAGUCUGAUGUGAAAUCCCCUCGCUUAACGAGGGAACUGCGUCGGAUACUGGAAGGCUUGAAUCCGGGAGAGGGAUGCGGAAUUCCAGGUGUAGCGGUGAAAUGCGUAGAUAUCUGGAGGAACACCGGUGGCGAAGGCGGCAUCCUGGACCGGCAUUGACGCUGAGGCGCGAAAGCCAGGGGAGCAAACGGG
RNAcentral lists this ribosomal RNA (253 nucleotides) under uncultured bacterium. RNAcentral's name for it is "partial 16S ribosomal RNA". It matches the Rfam family "Bacterial small subunit ribosomal RNA", at positions 524 to 776 of the family's 1533-position model. The record is from RNAcentral.